CCGAGUGACCAUACUGAGGGGGUCACACCCGUUCCCAUUCCGAAUACGGCAGUUAAGUCCCUCAAGGCCGAUGGUACUACACGGGCAACUGUGCGGUAGAGUAGGUAGUCACUCGGU
Molecule: ribosomal RNA, 117 nt
Filed under: Candidatus Omnitrophota bacterium
Lineage: Bacteria; Pseudomonadati; Candidatus Omnitrophota
Source: RNAcentral